RNAcentral lists this ribosomal RNA (253 nucleotides) under uncultured bacterium. RNAcentral describes it as "partial 16S ribosomal RNA". It matches the Rfam family "Bacterial small subunit ribosomal RNA", at positions 524 to 776 of the family's 1533-position model. The record is from RNAcentral.
UACGUAGGUGGCGAGCGUUGUCCGGAUUUACUGGGCGUAAAGGGAGCGUAGGCGGAUUUUUAAGUGAGAUGUGAAAUACUCGGGCUCAACUUGAGUGCUGCAUUUCAAACUGGAAGUCUAGAGUGCAGGAGAGGAGAAUGGAAUUCCUAGUGUAGCGGUGAAAUGCGUAGAGAUUAGGAAGAACACCAGUGGCGAAGGCGAUUCUCUGGACUGUAACUGACGCUGGGGCUCGAAAGCGUGGGGAGCAAACAGG